Long non-coding RNA from Solanum tuberosum (potato), 1038 nucleotides. RefSeq lists it as uncharacterized. The record is from RefSeq and is a predicted model, not a curated record. The transcript has 5 exons. Lineage: Eukaryota; Viridiplantae; Streptophyta; Magnoliopsida; Solanales; Solanaceae.
UUCCCUCAAAGCAAUAAAAGACGCUGGCCAUUAGAUCCGCUGCCCUCCUCCUCCUCCAGAAUCACCACCUCCAGAGCCACCGUAGCCAUUUUAUCCACCGCCGCUUAAGUCACCGUAUUCUCCGGCGCCACUGGAGCCAUCGUAUUCAGCACGGCCACCAAAACCACCGUAUCCACCACCGCUAUCCGGACCUCCAAAUCCACCUCCGCUACGAAUCAACACCGCUACUAUGUACACCAAUUGGAGCUCGGCUAUUUGUGGUUGCUCUAAUUCCGCAGCUUGACAUAUGUAGUAAUCGUUUUCCCUAGUUGGUUGAUUUUCUUUCUCAGAGGUUUUGCACUUCUUAUCUUGCGGAGGACGUUGAUUAAGUGAAAAUUGAUAUCUGCAAGACCUCGACUCUAAUUUCUGAGAUUGACCGAGUAUUAAUUUCAUAAACUGGUAUCUGCAGUCCGACAGAUGCUAAUUUGGUGGCAACAUGUGGUGGAGACGAAGGAGAAUUUAUAUGGAAGAUUGGUUAAGGUGAUUCUAGUUUAAAGUUAUUAGAAGAUCACAGAGAUUUUGUUUAGUUUGGCUUUUAGUCCUGAUGGUCAGUUGCCUUCUCCUGAAAGCAUUGAUGGGCAUAUGAGAGUGGGACACAACUUCAGGUAGUCUGAAGGGCAAACUUGAAGGUCCUAAAAGGGAAAUUCAAGUGAAACAUUUUCUUAUGCCUAAGAAAUUCAUCUUUGCAUGACAAUUCGAGAUCCAGGGGUCUGGUAACAUCAAGAAGACAUGGUGUUGGCUAGUGCAGAGUAUCCUAUUGUUUUGAUAUGGAAUGAUGGUAUCCGAGAGGACACGAGGCAAUGGUUUCUGAGAGGAUAUAGAUAUGUACUCUAUGAUGUUUAGAGAUUUGAUAUGUGGAAGAUUAUUGAAAUGAGAACAAGAUUAGCUUUUACCUUCUAAAAAAAAGAAGAUUAGCUUUUGGAAUCAAGUGGAGUAAUUUUUUUCAUGUUAUGUUGUUGACAUUAAGAUUAUGAAUGAAUAGUUAUUUGUUUUUGUUUA